Molecule: ribosomal RNA, 446 nt
Filed under: uncultured bacterium
Lineage: Bacteria
Description: partial 16S ribosomal RNA
Rfam family: Bacterial small subunit ribosomal RNA
Source: RNAcentral
CCUACGGGCGGCAGCAGUCGAGAAUCAUUCACAAUGGAGGAAACCCUGAUGGUGCGACGCCGCGUGGGGGAAUGAAGGUCUUCGGAUUGUAAACCCCUGUCAUGUGGGAGCAAAUUAAAAAGAUAGUACCACAAGAGGAAGAGACGGCUAACUCUGUGCCAGCAGCCGCGGUAAUACAGAGGUCUCAAGCGUUGUUCGGAAUCACUGGGCGUAAAGUGUGCGUAGGCUGUUUCGUAAGUCGUGUGUGAAAGGCGCGGGCUCAACCCGCGGACGGCACAUGAUACUGCGAGACUAGAGUAAUGGAGGGGGAACCGGAAUUCUCGGUGUAGCAGUGAAAUGCGUAGAUAUCGAGAGGAACACUCGUGGCGAAGGCGAGUUCCUGGACAUUAACUGACGCUGAGGCACGAAGGCCAGGGGAGCGAAAGGGAUUAGAUACCCUUGUAGUC